AUUUGUUCCUACACUCUAAAAAAUGCUGGGUUAUUUGUUUAACCCAACAGCUGGGUUGAGCCUGUUGGGUCAUUUUGUUGGGUUAUUUUCUUAGUGUUGGGUCAUUUUUUGAGUAACCCAAACGCUGGGUUACCAGUCGGGUCCAAUUGAGUGACAGUUGAGAGAUUAAACCCCUCCCACUCCUCUACGCAUCAGACAAACUCUACCUUCGCGGGCAUUUUGAUCCACUUCAUCUCGGAAAGCUGUUAUUCGGAGAAUAAAAGGUUGCAGAAUAACAGCUAAUAUUAAUGGAUCAUUCUAUUCAAGAGAAUGUCAACUGGAACUUGGAUGUUUUCAUAACAGGCUUAAAGAUGAACAAAUUGAUAAAGAAACCCUCCUGCUGGACAUCCACUUCCAAAAGUGCACACCAAACUGUUUUCUACAAACUCCCAGGAAAAGAAUCCUCUUUAGUAAGACUGCUCCGUGGAUAUUUUAGGUUAAGCAGUGCUGAAACCGAAAGAACUAACACUAUUGAAAAUGUUUUGUGAGUUUAUAUGAAGAGGAAAGUUACGGUGUCCCUUUUUCACAUCCAUAACGCUUGUUUAUUUCUUUUUUUAUAGAAAACUUGUGCAUAGAUUUAUAUUUUAUCAUAUAAAUGCGGUUCUAUCAACAAGGGUUUAGUAAAAUACUUUUUAUAGUGUUUUGAAGUGUUAAGUUGUCUAACUAUUUAUAUUUACUUGUGCCACUUUAAUAACCUUGUUAAAUGUAUAUGUUAAAAUCUAAACUAAUGUAAUUUAUUGAAGUUAAUUUUCUUUAAAUAUGUAUAAACAUACAUUUCAUCAAAGUGUUUUAUAUGCCAUUUUAUUGUUC
This is a long non-coding RNA of Triplophysa dalaica, 849 nucleotides long. RefSeq lists it as uncharacterized. The record is from RefSeq and is a predicted model, not a curated record. The transcript is spliced from 3 exons. NCBI's taxonomy places the organism in Eukaryota, Metazoa, Chordata, Actinopteri, Cypriniformes, Nemacheilidae.